CAGACUCUGCCUCUGUGGCGCUGUCCCUAAACCUCUCUUGGAGUCAGAGUACCCAGCUUAAGAAAGCACCUAUGGAACAAGGGGUUGAUCAGUGGUUGGAACAUGAAGGGAGUGGAAUAAAGGGCAGAGGAUGUGGUGAGCAGCUUGGAACAGCAAGCACUGCAGAAGAGAUUUUAUCCCUCCAAGCCUAGCUUGGAAGGAAGACAGAAGCCUUAACCUCCAGGGUAACAUGUUGCAAUUUGUUCACUUAUUAAUCUAACAAGAAUGCACUGAGGUGCUCAUUAAAUGUCAGACCUUGUGUGAGGUUGAGGAAAUCCAAAAGCAAAGGAGGCAUGAACCUCCAUGCCCAUUCAGAAGGGCACCAGGCCUUUUAAGAAGGGUGGAUAUGCACAAUUUGAAAAUAACUGAUAGUCCUGACUUAUCUUUGCAAUUAAUAAGGCAAUUUCAUACACAUUUUCUACUCUGAUCCCCAGAUCACCAAUCCAAUUUUACAGGUGAGGGAAUUGAGGCAGGCUGAGGGAGGUUGCGGCUAACCCAAAGGUGCACAGCUGAAAGUGGUAGAGCUAAGGACCCACCCAAGUGUUCCGAGAACAGAUCCUGUGCAUUUUCCACCACAGCCCUGCUCCAGGAUGCUAGUCCCUGGCACUGGUAACAUUUGGAUUCACUAGAGGGAGAUGAGCUAAGAGGAUUAAAGAGGAGUCACACGUCACCAGUUUGCUUGCUGCCAUGAGCUUGUUUGAGAAAGGGAUUAGUUGUGAUGUUGCUAGUAUCAAGCAAAAUCACUCUUUUUUCUCUGCUGUUCUCUGGAAUUUGGCAUUUCUGGACAAACCAACCUACACCCAAGAGUUGCAGGAAAGCAAUUGCACAAUAAAGAAUCUUAAGUCUGGAAGUGUUUCUUUCUCCAGAUCAGCAGCAGAGAGAGCAGGUUUGAUUCAUGGAAAUAAACACCUAUCUGCAAGCCUCAAUCACAACCCAUUUCAUCUGAAGUGGUCAUGCAGGCAUUCAGGCAUCUGCAGGCUGUCCUUUCCUGGAAAUAGUGAGGAGCUGGGUACUAGAGCUGAAACCCUGGCCAUCCACAUCUUGGCCUCAUCCUUCCAAAGUGCUCCUUUUGUCUUCCUCUGAGUGCUCACAACAUUUUGAAUUUCUCAUUUAUCAUCUUUUGCUCUGCAUUAAAGUGGUUGUGUGAUUGUGAACACAACUUACACAUGCUCCUAUGUGGUCUAUAAGCUGCUUGAGGUUCGGGUGAUGUAUUCAGAGUUGCUUCUUCCUUUCAUCAAGCACAGAGUAGAUGUUCAAUGAAGGUCUUUUGUAUUUAAUGAGAUGGAAACUAAAAAUAGAUAUCAGUUUUUAGAGGAUUAAAAUCCAUAAACGGACAGAAAUUCUCCAAUACAGAACAUGUUCACAGGACCCUGAUCUUUGAGUUCUGUGAUUCUGAUAUUCUGAUUAAGUGGGAAGAGAUUUUUCAAGAAUCUUGUGCAGCCAGGCAGCUUUAUGAGUAACCGUGCCAGCCUUCACAUCCCCUCCCCACCCCCCAGAGAAGCAGGUCUUUUUGCCACCUCAAUGUAUCUGCAUAUAACAGACCUGGCAUUUCCACUGCAGUAGCCCCAACCUGUGCAUGCUUUUGAAGUUGUAAAAAAUAGCUCCGUUUUCUGCCCUUUCACGAAGUGGUGACAAAUAAUCUCUGCUGCAAUUUACACAUUUCCUGGCAAUCAUAAACUCUUGUCUCAUGAGAGAAGAUGGACUGUGUUAUAUUUUCUCUGUUUUCUUCUUGGGCUAUUCUUUGCCUCCCAAGGUUCAGGCAUGUGGAAAGAUAAUGGUGCUCAGUUUUGGGAUGGGGAUCAGAGUAUAAUAUUGUUAUGCAAAAUCAUUCCAGUAUCUUUGCUUAUUUGAUAUACUCAUACCUUCUUCUAAUCUGUUUCAAACAUUUUCCAUGUGCCAAACCAUGCUUGUUGCUGGAGACUCAGAAAUAGUUGGGGACUCAACUCUGCUCUCACAGUUGAGGAGUCAGGCAGGUAAACAGAGAAUUUCAAUAUGUGAGAAACAGGGUUUAUUGAAGGUCCAACAUGAACACAGAGGAGAGAGUAAUUACCACCGUGGAGCAGGUUUGCUGGAGAUUAUCAGCUUGGGAUUCCUGUCGGAGGAAGAUUCUCUGAAGGGUUUUGAAGUUUCAAAGGCUACCGAGUUCAACUUCUUUAAUUUAAAAUGAAGGAAUCUGAAGCACCAAGAGGAAUGUAGUACAAGAAGUUGGUCUGACUCAGAGAGAAAGUUCCCUGCUUUCAAGAUCUCAUGUGAAGUUAGGUUGGGAAGGAGAGCAAGCAGUGAUGAGUUCUAUGGAAACUACCUCCCAUGAUCUCCCCACCAGAGCCCAACUCAGCCAUACUCUUGAACUUGGAUCUGGGGCAGUGGCCCUCAAGGGCUAGCUGAACUGGAGUUGAUGACAUUUGAAGAUCUGAGAUGUCAAGGCAGUUAGAGUAAAGAGGCUGCCAGGCGGAGUGGAGCCAUUUAUUCAUUCAUUCAACACGUAUUUAUUGAGCCAGGUCUACUAUGGCCCAGGGACCACCAGAUACUGGAAAACAGGGCAAAAUACACUGAUAAAAAUAAUGACUUUGGUCAUGCAAACUGCAAUUAUGCUGUUAAUAUUAGUGUGGUAGAUUAAAUGUAGCCACAAUUUUUUUGCAAAAAAUAUCAAGAGAUGAGGCAUUUUUCCCUAUCCCUGAGACCAGUCUCACUUUGGGGCUUCCUUUGGCCAAAGCGUGUGGCAGGAGUAAUGCUUCCGGAGUCUAGGCCUCAAGAGUCCUUGUAGCUUCUGUUUUAUUCUCUUGGAACCUGGAGAUCAUACCAUAAAGAAGUCUGAGAUGAAAGACCAUGAAGACAAAGGCCCAGGUGUCCCAGCUGAGCCCAGGCCUCAGAAAACUUGGAGCUGAAUGCAGCCACUUGAGCAAGCUCAGGUUAGAACUAUCUGGCCAGCUCUCAGAAUCAUGACAAAUACAGUCAUACUUUGGAGAUAUUGUGGGUUUGAUUCCAGACCACCACAAUAAAGCAAAUGUCACAAUAAA
Molecule: long non-coding RNA, 3056 nt
Organism: Homo sapiens (human)
Lineage: Eukaryota; Metazoa; Chordata; Mammalia; Primates; Hominidae
Exons: 5
Source: RefSeq, a predicted model, not a curated record